This 440-nucleotide ribosomal RNA is filed under the name uncultured bacterium. RNAcentral's name for it is "bacterial SSU rRNA". It matches the Rfam family "Bacterial small subunit ribosomal RNA", at positions 338 to 770 of the family's 1533-position model. The record is from RNAcentral.
CCUACGGGUGGCAGCAGUGGGGAAUUUUGGACAAUGGGCGCAAGCCUGAUCCAGCCAUUCCGCGUGCAGGAUGAAGGCCCUCGGGUUGUAAACUGCUUUUGUACGGAACGAAAAGGCUUCCUCUAAUACAGGGAGCUCAUGACGGUACCGUAAGAAUAAGCACCGGCUAACUACGUGCCAGCAGCCGCGGUAAUACGUAGGGUGCAAGCGUUAAUCGGAAUUACUGGGCGUAAAGCGUGCGCAGGCGGUGAUGUAAGACAGGUGUGAAAUCCCCGGGCUUAACCUGGGAACUGCAUUUGUGACUGCAUCGCUGGAGUGCGGCAGAGGGGGAUGGAAUUCCGCGUGUAGCAGUGAAAUGCGUAGAUAUGCGGAGGAACACCGAUGGCGAAGGCAAUCCCCUGGGCCUGCACUGACGCUCAUGCACGAAAGCGUGGGGAGCA